RNAcentral lists this unclassified non-coding RNA (856 nucleotides) under Hevea brasiliensis (rubber tree). The record is from RNAcentral. Lineage: Eukaryota; Viridiplantae; Streptophyta; Magnoliopsida; Malpighiales; Euphorbiaceae.
GUGUGUGUGUGUGUGUGUGUGUUAGAGAGAGAAAGAGAGGAGAGAGAAGAUGGUUUCAGGUUCAGGGAUCAGCGCAAGGAGGAUAGUGGUGGAUGCUCGCCACCAUAUGCUUGGAAGACUUUCUUCAAUUUUGGCGAAAGAGCUUCUCAAUGGACAGAGAGUUGUUGUUGUUAGAUGUGAAGAGAUUUGUCUUUCCGGUGGACUUGUUCGCCAGAAAAUGAAGUAUCUUAGAUUUCUUCGUAAGAGAAUGAAUACAAAGCCAUCUCAUGGUCCUAUCCAUUUUCGUGCUCCUUCUAAGAUCCUUUGGCGUACAAUCCGUGGGAUGAUUCCUCACAAGACCAAGCGUGGAGCAGCUGCACUUGCCCGCUUGAAGGUUUAUGAGGGUGUUCCACCACCAUAUGACAAGAUUAAGAGGAUGGUUAUCCCCGAUGCUCUAAAGGUAUUGAGGCUCCAAUCCGGACACAAGUACUGUCUCUUGGGCAAGCUUUCAUCAGAAGUUGGAUGGAACCAUUAUGAUACUAUCAAGGAACUCGAGAACAAGAGAAAGGAGAGAGCUCAGGUAGCAUACGAGAGGAGAAAGCAGUUGGCAAAACUUAGAGUUAAGGCUGAGAAAGCUGCUGAGGAGAAGCUUGGACCUCAACUCGCCGUUAUUGCUCCUAUCAAGUAUUGAAUUGGGAGUUGAGACAUAGUUAUUACGAAGUACAAUUUUGUUAAAGAUCGAUAAAUCAUCUUAUUCUCGACCUUUUUCUUAGUUACAUUGACCUCCUGAGUGGUGCAUUUUCAGUUAAGCUGUGUUUGAGAAGACUCUCAGACUCUUUUUAUCCUUCAUUUUUUUUGGUAAUGAAAUCGAAUCUCA